Molecule: long non-coding RNA, 2772 nt
Organism: Carcharodon carcharias (great white shark)
Lineage: Eukaryota; Metazoa; Chordata; Chondrichthyes; Lamniformes; Lamnidae
Exons: 2
Source: RefSeq, a predicted model, not a curated record
CAAUUUCAGUGCCGUAGCUAAUGGAAACAACUUUGCAACCAUUGUUUGAAUGUACAAACUCAUGAAACUGGACCCACAAGUCUGUAAUCAAGAAAAAUUUCGCUCUCACCUAGUUUUUGGAUUUCCUCUUGGACAAGGUCAAACAGUGCAAUCCCGUGUGUAAAGAAAAUUGUGAGUUAUUCAAUUUCAAAUGCCAGGUGUUUGACUAGGCCUGGCAGCUAAGUGGGUGCCAAAAAACAAAUGAUGAUUCAUAAUGAUCAUAUAAUGUCUUAAGAGAUGGGCUCAUUAAUAGAUAUGAUACAGUAACAAACCAUCUAAUAUGGGCAUAGUUUAAUAACCAUAUACUGUAUAUGAUUAAAUUAAGCUUUUCCCUCUCAUUCUCCCAUGUUUCAAACCAUUUUGGGAUCUGAGUGUUAUAUUCUUAUUUGCAUAAUUAAUUCUCCUCAGACUCUCCAGAGUCAAAACUGUACAGUAUUAGGCAACUUAGUUAUAUGGCCACUUUAACCAAUAGUUUUUAAUUGGUCCCUCUCCAGCAGGCAUUACUAACAAAAUGGUACCUUAACCUAAUGCCAUUCUAUAUGUACAAGUUGUGAUUCAUGUUUGACAGUUGAGUACAAUCUGAAGCAGAUCCAAAAUCCAGACACAUCCAACUAAAUCUCCUUCCUCAGGUCUGGGGGCCCAAAGCCAAAUUUAGCAACUCAACUACAGCCUCAGCUGAGACCAACGAACUCAGGAUAGAGUAGGAAUCAAAGCUGGGACCUUUUAGGAGAGUGCAUUACCCACUCAGCAGAGUUACAGCUUAGGUUCUUGUUCAAACUUUUAAUCAUUCUCCUUCUAUCUCAAGAAGAAAAACGAAGACGUGCACAUGGGCUCAUUGAGUUUCGGAUAAAGGUCACAGACCCGAAAUGUUCGUUUCUCAACGCAAAUGCUGCCAGACAGCUGCUGAGUAUUACCAGUAUUUUCCAUUAUUAUUUCCAAUUUCCAGCAUCUGCAGUAUUUUGCUUUUACAUACAUCCACAUGGACAGUUUAGGAUGGUUUGGAAACUGGCAGCAGGUUGGAAUACGGAACAAAAGGAGGUUCAAUGGUAUUUAUUGGACACAAUAGAAAUAUCUACUUUUAUAGUCAUGCUCAGUACAGGCGUGAAGAUAUUACAAAUUUUAAAGCUGUAUUUUAAAAGUGAACACAAAAGCUGUUAAGAUGGCUGCAGUAUACCAUAUGACUUCUGGUAUUUGAAAUGUAGACAGUAGAGUCUGCAGCCAUAAUCUGAUUAAAAAUGGACCUUUAGUGAAUGAACCACAAAGCCACGUGGAAUUCACACCUAUGGACUGACUAUGGGGGUUGGCAGACAACUCAUCUCCAUGUUUCAUCAUGGACAAAAGAGACCUCGAAGCUCAAUAAAUGUUACAAGAAUGUGGAAUGGAUCCUAUUGACUUUUCAUUGUAUUGUGAUGGCCCCUCAUCCAAACACAAAGUCAUUGCCUGCCUCAAACUCAUCACAAGAUGUUUAUCAGCCAACACACCACUUUAUUUGCAAAAAGACUUUAGACUUGCAACAGGUCACAUGGGUGAGACAGUCAUGUUUGUUGCCCACUUUUAAAGGUAAUAGCAGAAGCUGUUCUGGGACAGGGGAACCAUCAGAAAAGCCAAUGAACCAGCUGCAGUCAACUAAGUAGCCAACGUGAUAAACAGUAAUACCUUGAAAGUGGGAGGACUCUCCCCAGCCUGUUCCAACUUCAAGUUCACGUGAGAACUAACCUCCUGGUGAUUCAGCCACAAGAAAUCUUGCAGCUUACUGAGAAUCCUCUGCUUUGCAAAACCUUCACACCUGCCAAAGCAUCAAUUCAUCUAAGAGACAACAGGCCUGCUACAAAAGAGACUGAAAUUAUUCCAAGUUGUAAUCGUGUUGCUUUUUUCUUCAUUUGUAUCUAAAUUGUGUGUGAGUAAUAGUGCGUGAGAGUCAAGUAAGUGGGCCAUUUUGUUUUUAAGCUCCGGGGGCAACUGAGAAAUAAUAAGUAACCUUUAUUUUUAAAUUCAAAGAAGCUUGCUGCUGGAAUUCUUUAUAUUGAGUCAACCACCAAGGGUAAGAAAAUACACACACCUCACACAUAAAAACACAUUGCUCAUGGGCAGUAAGAAAACACAAAUUCUGUGACAACGGAUAUUUAAUAGAUUUUCUAUAAUAAAAAAGCAGUUCUCCCCAGAGUUGGCAAAGCUCCCAAUUAGCUGUUCUCUUGCUUGCACUUGCGAAAUCAGAACUAGAAAAAGUCCACAACCACUGAACAUGUACAUCAGGCAAUGCAAAUAUGGAGCUGCCUGUUACUUCUAACAGGUUUAUAAUCUCUACAUGAUUUCUGGACUGGCAAUAAAUAUGGCCAAAAGUUUUGUUUUAUCACUAUGAGAUAUUCGAUCCAAUCAUAAUGUGGUAAAUGUUAUCACAAAAUGAUAUGUAUGGUCUAGAGCAAAUAUUCCAUUCUGAAAUAAUGACACCCAUGAGGAGCAUUUUUAAUACAAAGCAAAAUGCAACCCUUGACUUCCACAUGCAUCCACUGGAACAUAAGGUAAUUAUGUUCAGAAAAUUAUAAUUUGAGUUCCUUUUUGAUGGUUAUCGAUCUCAGUACAGUUGUGUGAAAUUUAACUGGCUGGCUAUAGCCAAACAUUCUUGCUCCUAUCACCAAUUAUAUCUCCAGCAGCAAGUAUUUUAAACAUAUGACUGACUUUUCUUUUUAAAAAGAAAUCCUACCAAUAAAUGGUGAUCUGAUACACAAAACAAAA